This 1458-nucleotide long non-coding RNA is filed under the name Homo sapiens (human). RNAcentral describes it as "HSALNT0289962". The record is from RNAcentral. Lineage: Eukaryota; Metazoa; Chordata; Mammalia; Primates; Hominidae.
GAAAAGUUUCCUGGGGCGGAGCUGAGCCACGCGGGCCGCGCAGGAGCGUCUGUCCGAGGGUCGCCUACGAGGGACUCCUCUGCUCGGCUGCGCGGGCUUCUGCGUUGAUGAAGUCACCGCGUUCCGGGUCGGAGCUUCGGCGCUUCUGCCCCGAACCCAGCGAAGCCCGGUCCUAUGCCCCCAAUUACCCAACGGUCCCUCAUCGCCCAGCGCAGCUGCUGCCUGGCCAGGCCCUUGCUCCGGAGGAGUCACUGGAAAGUUCCAGGGAAUCUGGGCCUCCCGGACUCUCCACCGGCGUUUCACUGCUCCCUUCCCAUGCCAGGACUCCUCUGUGCCUACCUGGCUGAGGGCAGUGCAGAAUCCGGGCCUUGGAAAGGACACUGGUGCCACCCUUCACUGGGGAAAGGUGCAAGGGGCGGGGGAUAUACCAUGCCGAGCCUUCGCUCUGUGCUCUGUGCAGGUGCUUGACCCAGGCCAGCUCUGGAAUCGCCCCAGGCCAUGUGAGAGCCGUGGGGGGUGAGAGGGGCGGGAAGCACUUCACAGGUGAGGCCUCCCUGGGAGGGGCAGCCAGUGAGGGGGUGGAAGGGCAGAGCCAGGAGGACCAUGGCUUGGGGCUCAGUCUCCCAGGCGAACCAUAGCUUGGGGCUUAAGUCCCCCAAGCAGCCCUUUCACCCCCAGGCCUCCAGGAUCUUUGCCAACGGUCUUGAGGAGCCAGGCACAGGAUUGGACUCUGCCCGGGCAGGAGGAUGAAGACAGUGACUUCCCCACCAAGACUCCCGGCAGAGGGCCAGAGGCAGGGAAGUGUGGUGGCAGGAGGGCCAGCCUUGCCGUGGCUGGACCAGGGGCCAGCGCUUGCUAACUCGGGGUCCUGGCCGAGUUGUGUGGCCUCUCCGACCCUCGGUCUCCUCAUCUGUAAGAUGGGUCCCACAGCCCCUCCCCGGGGAGGUGUUUGCAGGGCUCCAUGAGAAGGCCUUACACACACUGUGGCUAUGGUGAUCUGUGAGCCGGUCAGAGGACCCGAGAGGCAGCAGGGUGACUCAGCAGUUUCCCUGCCGGGCCGCCCCUGGGUCAUCGUCCCCUAGAGCCUCUCCCUGAGGGGUGUGAGGGAGCGGAUCCCAUUAAGAGGCGAAGGAGGCAGGGAGGUCCUGGAACCAGCGGGGCCUAUGGCGGCCGGCGGGGAAGGAGGCGCCGGCAGUGCUGCCACCUAGCGGUGUGAGGAGGCGGUGCUGCACCAGGGAGGCCCUUCCUGCAACCGGAGUGGGCCUGGAAGGGGCCGGCUUCGCACACUAGGAGCCAGCAGGGCAGGGAGGGGCUCCGGACCGGACCGUGUCGGCUCCAGGAACCCCUUGGGCAGCCUUGUGGACACCUGCUGACCUCUCUCAGAAUGGCUUCUAAGUGCAUAGAUGAAAAAGCCCAGGAUUAUUAGGAAACCAAUUCUAUGCAAAUGCAUUAUCAAAA